CCUGAAUUCCAAUGGGAGGAGAAUAUAAUGAGACCUAUAUGAAUUAUGAGAAACCAGGCUGCAAACACUGGUCAGCCUCCAAGGACAUAUUUUCAAACAGCCACUUCCAAUGUAACCAGUGAGUAUAACAGCAAGAAGACAUUCUCAGAAGGUGGACCUGGGGGCAUGGAGACCAACUGAAUGGAGAGGAGCUGUUACAAUACGGAAUCAGACCUGAUCAAGGCCUGUCACCACCUCCUGAUGAGGCCUUCACAAUGUCUACCCUGAGGGAUUUCAGAACUGCUAAGUGCCGUCUCCCAUUCCUCCCCUUUCUGAAUGAAAGUGUUGUUUAUUCCCAGGUCCAACAUUCUAUAUUAGAUACGUGUGGGGGAAGCAGGUAAAAAACAAGGGACACCAUUGUGGCCAAAGGAACAGGUAAAAAAUAUAAAGUGUCAUAAAUUUGGAACCAUCUCACUUUAACGGCAUGACUAUGAGCUUCCAGAUCAGUGACUCCCUGUUUGCCUUAGUGGUGUAUAAAUUAGAAUCCUAUUUGGAAAAUAAAGCUGUUUCUACUAGAAUAUGAUCCAUGACUUCUGUAAACAUUGUAAAAUAUCAUUGUUGACAAUCUGCCAUCUGGCAUUAUCACAGUCUCUUAAGAAUGUGAAUCUUUUUGUAAAGUCCUGUAAACUGUGUUUUUCAAUAUCUUCACUUGAAGACCAAUAUGAUGGAUUUUUGAUAAUGAUCAUAAGUUUUGAUAUAGCCCCUUUUAGACAGCA
RNAcentral lists this long non-coding RNA (755 nucleotides) under Homo sapiens (human). Its description in RNAcentral is "HSALNT0114819". Lineage: Eukaryota; Metazoa; Chordata; Mammalia; Primates; Hominidae. The record is from RNAcentral.